UACGGGGGGGGCAAGCGUUGUUCGGAAUUACUGGGCGUAAAGAGCGUGUAGGCGGCCAGGUAGGUCUGCUGUGAAAACUCGAGGCUCAACCUCGAGACGUCGGCGGAAACCAUCUGGCUAGAGUCCGGAAGAGGAGAGUGGAAUUCCUGGUGUAGCGGUGAAAUGCGCAGAUAUCAGGAAGAACACCCGUGGCGAAGGCGGCUCUCUGGGACGGUACUGACGCUGAGAAGCGAAAGCAUGGGGAGCGAACAGG
This 253-nucleotide ribosomal RNA is filed under the name uncultured bacterium. RNAcentral's name for it is "partial 16S ribosomal RNA". It matches the Rfam family "Bacterial small subunit ribosomal RNA", at positions 524 to 776 of the family's 1533-position model. The record is from RNAcentral.